UACAGAGGACUCAAGCGUUGUUCGGAUUUAUUGGGCGUAAAGGGUGUGUAGGUGGCGCCGUAAGUCGGGUGUGAAAUUUCGGAGCUUAACUCCGAAACUGCAUUCGAUACUGCGGUGCUUGAGGACUGGAGAGGAGACUGGAAUUCAUGGUGUAGCAGUGAAAUGCGUAGAGAUCAUGAGGAAGACCAGUGGCGAAGGCGGGUCUCUGGACAGUUCCUGACACUGAGACACGAAGGCCAGGGGAGCAAACGGG
Molecule: ribosomal RNA, 253 nt
Filed under: uncultured bacterium
Lineage: Bacteria
Description: partial 16S ribosomal RNA
Rfam family: Bacterial small subunit ribosomal RNA
Source: RNAcentral